RNAcentral lists this ribosomal RNA (253 nucleotides) under uncultured bacterium. Its description in RNAcentral is "partial 16S ribosomal RNA". It matches the Rfam family "Bacterial small subunit ribosomal RNA", at positions 524 to 776 of the family's 1533-position model. The record is from RNAcentral.
UACGUAGGUGGCAAGCGUUAUCCGGAAUUAUUGGGCGUAAAGAGCGCGCAGGUGGUUAAUUAAGUCUGAUGUGAAAGCCCACGGCUUAACCGUGGAGGGUCAUUGGAAACUGGUUGACUUGAGUUGGCGAGAAGUACGCGGAAUGCGCGGUGUAGCGGUGAAAUGCAUAGAUAUCGCGCAGAACUCCGAUUGCGAAGGCAGCGUACCGGCGCCAGACUGACGCUGAGGCACGAAAGCGUGGGGAUCGAACAGG